This 73-nucleotide transfer RNA is filed under the name Chloroflexota bacterium. Its description in RNAcentral is "Chloroflexi bacterium (anaerobic digester metagenome) tRNA-Arg". It matches the Rfam family "tRNA". From Rfam's summary of the family: Transfer RNA (tRNA) molecules are approximately 80 nucleotides in length. Their secondary structure includes four short double-helical elements and three loops (D, anti-codon, and T loops). Lineage: Bacteria; Bacillati; Chloroflexota. The record is from RNAcentral.
GCCCCAGUAGCUCAGAGGAUAGAGCAGCGGUUUCCUAAACCGUUGGUCGGGGGUCCGACUCCCUCCUGGGGCA